GACGCACGCUGGCGGCGUGCUUAACACAUGCAAGUCGAACGGAAAGGCCCUGCUUUUGUGGGGUGCUCGAGUGGCGAACGGGUGAGUAACACGUGAGUAACCUGCCCUCGACUUUGGGAUAACUUCAGGAAACUGGGGCUAAUACCGGAUAGGAGCUCCUGCUGCCUGGUUGGGUUUGGAAAGUUUCGCCGGCUGGGGAUGGACUCGCGGCUUUUCAGCUGGUUCGUGGGUUAGUGGCUUACCAAGGCUUUUACGGGUAGCCGGCCUGAGAGUGUGACCGGCCACUUUGGGUAUAACAUACGGCCCAGACUCCUACGGGAGGCAGCAGUGGGGAAUAUUGCACAAUGGGCGGAAACCUGAUACAGCAACGCCGCGUGCGGAGUGACGACCUUCGAAUUGUUAACCGCUUUCGACUGAGACGAAGCGUGAGUAGCGGUAAUGGGUAAAGAAGCACAGGCUAACUACGUG
RNAcentral lists this ribosomal RNA (468 nucleotides) under uncultured bacterium. RNAcentral's name for it is "partial 16S ribosomal RNA". It matches the Rfam family "Bacterial small subunit ribosomal RNA", at positions 28 to 507 of the family's 1533-position model. The record is from RNAcentral.